UACCAGCACCCCGAGUGGUCGGGACGAUUAUUGGGCCUAAAGCAUCCGUAGCCGGUUCUACGAGUCUUCCGUUAAAUCCACCUGCUUAACAGAUGGGCUGCGGAGGAUACUAUGGAGCUAGGAGGCGGGAGAGGCAAGCGGUACUUAGUGGGUAGGGGUAAAAUCCGUUGAUCCAUUGAAGACCACCAGUGGCGAAGGCGGCUUGCCAGAACGCACUCGACGGUGAGGGAUGAAAGCUGGGGGAGCAAACCGG
This 253-nucleotide ribosomal RNA is filed under the name uncultured bacterium. Its description in RNAcentral is "partial 16S ribosomal RNA". It matches the Rfam family "Archaeal small subunit ribosomal RNA", at positions 474 to 727 of the family's 1478-position model. The record is from RNAcentral.